AAAAAAGCCCUAUACCCGUUAAGGCAUGAUUACCUGUACCCGAAACCGACACAGGUGGGGUGGUAGAGAAUACCGAGGGGCGCGAGGUAACUCUCUCUAAGGAACUCGGCAAAAUGACCCCGUAACUUCGGGAGAAGGGGUGCCAGCGCGAGCUGGUCGCAGUGAAUAGGCCCAGGCGACUGUUUACCAAAAACACAGGUCUCCGCUAAGUCGCAAGACGAUGUAUGGGGGCUGACGCCUGCCCAGUGCCGGAAGGUUAAAGAAGUUGGUCAGCGCAAGCGAAGCUAACGACUGAAGCCCCGGUGAACGGCGGCCGUAACUAUAACGGUCCUAAGGUAGCGAAAUUCCUUGUCGGGUAAGUUCCGACCCGCACGAAAGGCGUAACGAUCUGGGCGCUGUCUCGGAGAGAGGCUCGGCGAAAUAGAAUUGCCUGUGAAGAUGCGGACUACGUGCACCCGGACAGAAAGACCCUAUGAAGCUUUACUGUAGCUUGGUAUUGUGCUCGGGCUCGCAAUGCGCAGGAUAGGUGGGAGGCUUUGAUCCAUUGCUUGUGGGUGAUGGUGAGCCACUGGUGAGAUACCACUCUUUGCGAGCUAGGGUUCUAACGGUUACCCGUCAUCCGGGAACCGGACAGUAUCUGGUGGGCAGUUUGACUGGGGCGGUCGCCUCCUAAAAGGUAACGGAGGCGCGCAAAGGUUUGCUCAGGCUGGUUGGAAAUCAGCCGACGAGUGUAAAAGCAGAAGCAAGCUUGACUGUGAGACCUACAAGUCGAACAGGGAGGAAACUCGGCUUUAGUGAUCCGACGGUUCUGAGUGGAAGGGCCGUCGCUCAACGGAUAAAAGUUACUCUAAGGAUAACAGGCUGAUCUCCCCCAAGAGUUCACAUCGACGGGGAGGUUUGGCACCUCGAUGUCGGCUCAUCGCAACCUGGGGCUGAAGUCGGUCCCAAGGGUUGGGCUGUUCGCCCAUUAAAGCGGUACGCGAGCUGGGUUCAGAACGUCGUGAGACAGUUCGGUCCAUAUCCGGUGCAUGCGCAGGAAUAUUGAGAGGAUUUCUCCCUAGUACGAGAGGACCGGGAGGAACGCACCUCUGGUGUACCAGUUAUCGUGCCAACGGUAAACGCUGGGUAGCCAUGUGCGGAGUGGAUAACCGCUGAAAGCAUCUAAGUGGGAAGCCCACCUCAAGAUGAGUAUUCCCAUGGCUUAAGCCAGUAAGGUCACGGGAAGAACACCCGUUGAUAGGCUCUAUGUGGAAGCGCAGUAAUGCGUGAAGCAGAGGAGUACUAAUAGACCGAGGGC
Molecule: ribosomal RNA, 1297 nt
Filed under: metagenome
Description: bacterial LSU rRNA
Rfam family: Bacterial large subunit ribosomal RNA
Source: RNAcentral